AGCUCUGUGGCUUAGCUGGUUAAAGCACCUACCUUAUAAACAGGGGGACCUGAGUUUAGAUCUCAACAGUGCCU
This 74-nucleotide transfer RNA is filed under the name Alligator mississippiensis (American alligator). It matches the Rfam family "tRNA". Rfam says of the family: Transfer RNA (tRNA) molecules are approximately 80 nucleotides in length. Their secondary structure includes four short double-helical elements and three loops (D, anti-codon, and T loops). Lineage: Eukaryota; Metazoa; Chordata; Crocodylia; Alligatoridae. The record is from Rfam by way of RNAcentral.